UAGUUCUCACUUGGAAUAGUCUGUGACUU
This 29-nucleotide non-coding RNA is filed under the name Rattus norvegicus (Norway rat). Lineage: Eukaryota; Metazoa; Chordata; Mammalia; Rodentia; Muridae. The record is from RNAcentral.